UGCCCUUUGAUUUUUAUAAAGGGUAAGAUCUGCCCAAUGAUUAUUUGAAUGGCCGCAGUAUUUUGACUGUGCAAAGGUAGCAUAAUCAAUUGUCUUUUAAUUGGAGUCUGGUAUGAAUGAUUUAAUGAAAAAUUCACUGUUUCUUUGUAAGAUACGAAUUUUUAAGGUAGGUGAAGAUACUUAUAUUUUUAUAAAAGACGAGAAGACCCUAUAAAGUUUUAUAUGAAAGGCUAAUUUAAUUUAUUUAGUGUUAGUAUUUGAUUGGGGCAAUUAUGAAAUAGUAAAAACUUUCUAUUUUAAAAAUGUUAAUGAGCAAAUUUAUGUAUGAUCCAACUAUUUGAUUAAUAUAAUAAAUUACUUUAGGGAUAACAGCGUAAUUUGUUUGUAGAGUUCUUAUCGAUGAACAAGAUUGCGACCUCGAUGUUGGAUUAAGAUUCCUCUUUGGUGCAGAAGUUUUAAGAGGUAGUCU
This 469-nucleotide ribosomal RNA is filed under the name Lithobius dentatus. RNAcentral describes it as "partial large subunit ribosomal RNA". It matches the Rfam family "Bacterial large subunit ribosomal RNA", at positions 1817 to 2578 of the family's 2925-position model. Lineage: Eukaryota; Metazoa; Arthropoda; Chilopoda; Lithobiomorpha; Lithobiidae. The record is from RNAcentral.